AAUGUCGGGUUCAGGUGUAGGAACGCUUUGAAUUAUGUGUUUUUAUGCUUGUGUGUUUGUGUUUGUGCUGAGUUAUAUUUGUGAAUAGGUGGUGCACCUUCGGAUUGUGCUUAGCUCACAUUCUUGGUCCUCGGUGAAGGCAAGUAAAUGUAGCGAUGUGGUCUACAUGCUUUAACUUUGUUGUUUGAAUUGCCUUCAUUUAAUUUGAGUACCUCACACUAGCAAGAUAAAUCUUAAUUUGUCUUUAUACUGAAGUAUCUUAUUUCACUUGAGGCUUUACUUUUAAAGUUAUAAAUUUUGAGGUAUAUGAAGAUC
RNAcentral lists this long non-coding RNA (315 nucleotides) under Setaria viridis. RNAcentral describes it as "long non-coding RNA (SVIR_LNC003177)". Lineage: Eukaryota; Viridiplantae; Streptophyta; Magnoliopsida; Poales; Poaceae. The record is from RNAcentral.